GACGAACGCUGGCGGCGUGCUUAACACAUGCAAGUCGAACGGAAAGGCCCUGCUUUUGUGGGGUGCUCGAGUGGCGAACGGGUGAGUAACACGUGAGUAACCUGCCCUUGACUUUGGAUAACUUCAGGAAACUGGGGCUAAUACCGGAUAGGAGCCCCUGCUGCAUGGUGGGGGUUGGAAAGUUUCGGCGGUUGGGGAUGGACUCGCGGCUUAUCAGCUUGUUGGUGGGGUAGUGGCUUACCAAGGCUUUGACGGGUAGCCGGCCUGAGAGGGUGACCGGCCACAUUGGGACUGAGAUACGGCCCAGACUCCUACGGGAGGCAGCAGUGGGGAAUAUUGCACAAUGGGCGGAAGCCUGAUGCAGCAACGCCGCGUGCGGGAUGACGGCCUUCGGGUUGUAAACCGCUUUCGCCUGUGACGAAGCGUGAGUGACGGUAAUGGGUAAAGAAGCACCGGCUAACUACGUG
This 467-nucleotide ribosomal RNA is filed under the name uncultured bacterium. RNAcentral's name for it is "partial 16S ribosomal RNA". It matches the Rfam family "Bacterial small subunit ribosomal RNA", at positions 28 to 507 of the family's 1533-position model. The record is from RNAcentral.